Callithrix jacchus (white-tufted-ear marmoset) is the source of this 103-nucleotide small nuclear RNA. NCBI's taxonomy places the organism in Eukaryota, Metazoa, Chordata, Mammalia, Primates, Cebidae. The record is from Ensembl.
GUGCUUCAGCAGCACAUGUACUAAAAUUGGAGCCAUAGAGAGAUGAUUAGCACAGUCCCUCUGCAGGGAUGACAUGUACAUUUGGGAAGCAUUCCAUAUUUAA